AAAAAGGCUGUAGUUGAACCUUGGGCCUGGCUGGCCGGUCUGCCUCACCGCAUGUACUGGUUCGGCCGGGCCUUUCCUCCUGGGGAUCCGCAUGCCCUUCACUGGGUGUGUUGGGGAACCAGGACUUUUACUUUGAAAAAAUUAGAGUGUUCAAAGCAGGCCUUUGCUCGAAUACAUUAGCAUGGAAUAAUAGAAUAGGACGUGCGGUUCUAUUUUGUUGGUUUCUAGGACCGCCGUAAUGAUUAAUAGGGAUAGUCGGGGGCAUCAGUAUUCAGUUGUCAGAGGUGAAAUUCUUGGAUUUACUGAAGACUAACUACUGCGAAAGCAUUUGCCAAGGAUGUUUUCAUUAAUCAGUGAACGAAAGUUAGGGGAUCGAAGACGAUCAGAUACCGUCGUAGUCUUAACCGUAAACUAUGCCGACUAGGGAUCGGGCGAUGUUAUUCUUUUGACU
Molecule: ribosomal RNA, 451 nt
Filed under: Botryosphaeriaceae sp. E12502A
Lineage: Eukaryota; Fungi; Ascomycota; Dothideomycetes; Botryosphaeriales; Botryosphaeriaceae
Description: SSU rRNA
Rfam family: Eukaryotic small subunit ribosomal RNA
Source: RNAcentral